RNAcentral lists this ribosomal RNA (562 nucleotides) under uncultured bacterium. RNAcentral's name for it is "bacterial SSU rRNA". It matches the Rfam family "Bacterial small subunit ribosomal RNA", at positions 338 to 918 of the family's 1533-position model. The record is from RNAcentral.
CCUACGGGAGGCAGCAGUGAGGAAUCUUGGACAAUGGGCGCAAGCCUGAUCCAGCCAUGCCGCGUGAGUGAUGAAGACCUUAGGGUCGUAAAGCUCUUUCGCCAGAGAUGAUAAUGACAGUAUCUGGUAAAGAAACCCCGGCUAACUCCGUGCCAGCAGCCGCGGUAAUACGGAGGGGGUUAGCGUUGUUCGGAAUUACUGGGCGUAAAGCGCGCGUAGGCGGAUUAGUAAGUUAGAGGUGAAAUCCCGGGGCUCAACCCCGGAACUGCCUUUAAUACUGCUAGUCUUGAGUUCGAGAGAGGUGAGUGGAAUUCCGAGUGUAGAGGUGAAAUUCGUAGAUAUUCGGAGGAACACCAGUGGCGAAGGCGGCUCACUGGCUCGAUACUGACGCUGAGGUGCGAAAGUGUGGGGAGCAAACAGGAUUAGAUACCCUGGUAGUCCACACCGUAAACGAUGAAUGCCAGUCGUCGGGUAGCAUGCUAUUCGGUGACACACCUAACGGAUUAAGCAUUCCGCCUGGGGAGUACGGUCGCAAGAUUAAAACUCAAAGGAAUUGACGGGG